This is a non-coding RNA of Podarcis lilfordi (Lilford's wall lizard), 71 nucleotides long. NCBI's taxonomy places the organism in Eukaryota, Metazoa, Chordata, Lepidosauria, Squamata, Lacertidae. The record is from the annotation of a GenBank genome assembly.
GUUUCUGCUCAGUUGGUUAGAGCGUAGUGAUGAUAACGCCAAGGUUUCAGGUUCAAUCCUUGUAUGGGACA